GACGAACGCUGGCGGCGUGCUUAACACAUGCAAGUCGAACGCUGAAGCCCAGCUUGCUGGGUGGAUGAGUGGCGAACGGGUGAGUAACACGUGAGUAACCUGCCCCCUUCUUUGGGAUAACGCCCGGAAACGGGUGCUAAUACUGGAUAUUCACUGGCCUUCGCAUGGGGGUUGGUGGAAAGGUUUUUUCUAGUGGGGGAUGGGCUCGCGGCCUAUCAGCUUGUUGGUGGGGUGAUGGCCUACCAAGGCUUUGACGGGUAGCCGGCCUGAGAGGGUGACCGGUCACAUUGGGACUGAGAUACGGCCCAGACUCCUACGGGAGGCAGCAGUGGGGAAUAUUGCACAAUGGGCGAAAGCCUGAUGCAGCGACGCCGCGUGAGGGAUGACGGCCUUCGGGUUGUAAACCUCUUUCGCUCAUGGUCAAGCCGCAGCUUUGGGUUGUGGUGAGGGUAGUGGGUAAAGAAGCGCCGGCUAACUACGUGCCAGCAGCCGCUGGAAUACGUAGGGCGCGAUCGUUGUGCGGAAUUAUUGGGUGUGAAAGGGCGUGGUGGCUUUGUGUGCGGCUGCCUUGAAUCCCUCUGGUGUAACUGGGUGGUGUGGUGUUGGUGAUUUGCUGAUCUUGUUUUGUGUGUGGGAUACUGGAAUUCUGGUGUUGUUGUGAAUGCUCCAUUUUGUGAACAUCUGCUGUGUGUGUAGGUGGUGUUUGUGGUGUAAUUUGGGGUUAAAUGUGAAGUGCGUGGGUUGGUGCUGAUUGUUGUGUGUGUGUGGUUGUGUUGUAUGUGUGAUUGAGAUGGUGGUAUUGUUAAUGGUGGCAAGAAGAAUAAAAGCAGAUGCUGUUUUGUGUAUCGUGUUCUGGUGUGAACUUUGCCCUGUGGUUUCCGCUAUAGUGCUGUGG
This 895-nucleotide ribosomal RNA is filed under the name uncultured Actinomyces sp. RNAcentral describes it as "bacterial SSU rRNA". The stretch from base 2 to 519 matches the Rfam family "Bacterial small subunit ribosomal RNA", at positions 29 to 544 of the family's 1533-position model. The record is from RNAcentral. Lineage: Bacteria; Bacillati; Actinomycetota; Actinomycetes; Actinomycetales; Actinomycetaceae.